Long non-coding RNA from Daphnia pulex (common water flea), 251 nucleotides. RefSeq lists it as uncharacterized. NCBI's taxonomy places the organism in Eukaryota, Metazoa, Arthropoda, Branchiopoda, Diplostraca, Daphniidae. The transcript is spliced from 2 exons. The record is from RefSeq and is a predicted model, not a curated record.
UAUUAGAUUCACAAUAUUUGCUGGCAAUUAUCACUCCACCACCAUGUAAAAUUUUUGCUGACAACAUAGGGACUGAAUUUCGGAUAAUAGAGAAACCUGAAAUGGUUUUAAAUGUACAUGUCAAUAAUUGAAGAAAGGUCAUUCAGUACUAGUUGUUUUGAUUACAAUUGGAAUAAAAACCCAAAUGCAAUUGGAAGAUGAUUAAUAACUUUACACAACAAUCUUUUAAUACAAGUUCAUCAUGUCUGGCA